GAGUGUAUAGCUCAAGUGGCAGAGUACAUGCUUAACAUACAUAAGGUCCUGGGUUCUAUUUCCAGUACUUCCU
RNAcentral lists this transfer RNA (73 nucleotides) under Camelus bactrianus (Bactrian camel). It matches the Rfam family "tRNA". From Rfam's summary of the family: Transfer RNA (tRNA) molecules are approximately 80 nucleotides in length. Their secondary structure includes four short double-helical elements and three loops (D, anti-codon, and T loops). Further hydrogen bonds mediate the characteristic L-shaped molecular structure. tRNAs have two regions of fundamental functional importance: the anti-codon, which is responsible for specific mRNA codon recognition, and the 3' end, to which the tRNAs corresponding amino acid is attached (by aminoacyl-tRNA synthetases). tRNAs cope with the degeneracy of the genetic code in two manners: having more than one tRNA (with a specific anti-codon) for a particular amino acid; and 'wobble' base-pairing, i.e. permitting non-standard base-pairing at the 3rd anti-codon position. The record is from Rfam by way of RNAcentral. Lineage: Eukaryota; Metazoa; Chordata; Mammalia; Artiodactyla; Camelidae. RNAcentral also lists the same sequence under 1 other name.